CCUCAUCCUCGAAAAUACUGCGUUUUCUCGACACUUGGGCAUUGUUAUUGAUUCACUGCUGAAUUCAAGAAACUCUUCAUUCUUUCACUGGACUAUGAAUUUGAAGUUCAUCAUGCGAAAGGACGAACUCAUGUACUAUUAUCUGCGAUGUAAGAAAACCUAGCUAUGAAAUGGUGAUUGAAAGGGCUGGGCCGAAGAGUCAUCUGUAUCAUGCAAAUUUCUGUCUUUUCCAGGAAUUUUGUGACGAGACUAUGUUUUGUACGUACCAGUCGGUGUAACGAUGUCUACAAACAUAACCUGGUUCCUCAAUAGGUCAGACCUCGAACGGAUACUGUGCCGCUUAGCUCUCCCCCAUCGUUAGAUGCUUCUAAAAUGUCGAUCAGUUUAGGAAGACCUAAACUAAAACUGCCAAUUCACCAGUCCACAAGGUAUCGACAUCGUGAACAUGCAAACCCUGAAGUGGGCACCUGAAACUUUAUCAUAGUAGUAUUUGAUGCUCUCAAAAAUUAAAUCGAUUUAUGGUCAAGUGAAUAUUCUUAAUAAAGCACAAAAGUGAUGUGCUGCUUGUAGAAUAAGUUUUUCAGUGUUACUUCAUGUCCGGCUCAUAUACAUAACCCUACUUCGAAAAAUUUCUAAUCUAGGAAAGCUAAGUGCAUCCCUAGAACAGCAU
This 670-nucleotide long non-coding RNA is filed under the name Physcomitrium patens. RNAcentral describes it as "long non-coding RNA (PPAT_LNC001119)". The record is from RNAcentral. Lineage: Eukaryota; Viridiplantae; Streptophyta; Bryopsida; Funariales; Funariaceae.